AAAGCUUUCAGACAUUCACCAUCUCCACCUACAUGUUCAAUUAGUGAUAUUGCUAGUAUAGCAGCAACAGAUGAGGCAUCUCACAAUUUCACUCAAUCUGUGGCAAUACAAGUGGACCCCAUUGUUACUAGAUCAGUAAAAGUGCAAACAGUCAAAGUUAAAUCUUCAGUAGUAAAUAGAGUUUCAGUUGGCACACAGACUAGCAGCUGCAUUCUGUCAUCAGAUGCAGAAGUACAAUGUGACUUAUUAUCUUCCGAGUUGCCUAUAACCAGCAGUACUGAUGAUAGCAAUGCUUAUGAAUGUCAAGA
This is a long non-coding RNA of Amphimedon queenslandica, 308 nucleotides long. RefSeq lists it as uncharacterized. The transcript is spliced from 3 exons. Lineage: Eukaryota; Metazoa; Porifera; Demospongiae; Haplosclerida; Niphatidae. The record is from RefSeq and is a predicted model, not a curated record.